This is a long non-coding RNA of Rosa rugosa (rugosa rose), 731 nucleotides long. RefSeq lists it as uncharacterized. The transcript is spliced from 2 exons. Lineage: Eukaryota; Viridiplantae; Streptophyta; Magnoliopsida; Rosales; Rosaceae. The record is from RefSeq and is a predicted model, not a curated record.
UCCAGUCCUACUUAUGUCGGAUGUGGUCUUAUUUGCCCUCACAUAGUCAACUGCUCAGUACUUCUUGGGGCUAUCAUAUCAUGGGGUUUCCUUUGGCCUCUCAUAUCCAAACAUGCUGGGCACUGGUAUCCAGCUGACCUUGGUAGCAAUGAUUUCAAAGGUCUUUAUGGAUAUAAGGUAUUGUGGAAUCAUUUUUGUUGGAGGCAACAAGGUGGUCAUUAUAGCAAUAAUCUUGAUUAUAGUUGAGGUUUGGCUCAAUCCGUAAUGUUUGUUUACAUGUCUUCGUAGCUAUUGCCCUUAUUUUGGGGGAUGGUCCAUACAAUUUGAUCAAGAUUAUAGCCAUUACUAUCAAGGAAAUAUGCAAUAAAAGUAGUAAACAGAGCAAUCUUCCUUUGGUUAAAGAAAAGUUGGAUGGUGAGAGUUCUGAAGUAACCCUGGAACAAAAAAAGAGGGAUGAGGUAUUUCUCAAGGAUAGAAUACCUCGAGGUGUGCAUUGAAGUGGCUGAUUAUAUACAGAGUUUGGUGUAAGACUUUUGGCUUCCAUGAUUUUGAGUAAGGCUAGUUUUUGCUUUGAAGCAAAGUUUGGUGUAGAACGUACUUUUGUAGUUGGUUGCUAAUAUGUUUCUAAGCUAGCCUUUGUAGGUUUUGGGUUUUAUUUUGUGAAUUAUGUUGAAUCAUGAAUUUGGAAAGAAAAUUAAUGGAAAGCUCCAAUUUUUGGGUGAUGAGAAAUG